This 118-nucleotide ribosomal RNA is filed under the name Yarrowia lipolytica. The record is from RNAcentral. Lineage: Eukaryota; Fungi; Ascomycota; Dipodascomycetes; Dipodascales.
GGUUCGGCCAUACUGGUGAAAAUAGGUCCGUCCGAUCAGGCCAUAGUCAAAGCACCAGAGGAGCCUAGUUAGUAUUGUGUAGUGGGAGACCAUACGAGAAUCCUGGGGUGCUGCAAUC